Molecule: ribosomal RNA, 1096 nt
Filed under: uncultured bacterium
Lineage: Bacteria
Description: bacterial SSU rRNA
Rfam family: Bacterial small subunit ribosomal RNA
Source: RNAcentral
AGAGUUUGAUCCUGGCUCAGGAUGAACGCUGGCGGCGUGCUUAACACAUGCAAGUCGAACGAGAAGUGGAGACGGAAACCUUCGGGCGGAAGGCUUUAUUUCGAGUGGCGGACGGGUGAGUAACGCGUGGGUAACCUGCCUCAUACGGGAGGAUAACAGUUGGAAACGACUGUUAAUACCGCAUAAGACCACAGCACCGCAUGGUGCAGGGGUAAAAACUCCGGUGGUAUGAGAUGGACCCGCGUUCGAUUAGCCAGUUGGCGGGGUAACGGCCCACCAAAGCGACGAUCGAUAGCCGAUCUGAGAGGAUGACCGGCCACAUUGGGACUGAGACACGGCCCAAACUCCUACGGGAGGCAGCAGUGGGGAAUAUUGCGCAAUGGGGGAAACCCUGAUGCAGCGACGCCGCGUGAGUGAAGAAGUAUUUCGGUAUGUAAAGCUCUAUCAGCAGGGAAGAAAAUGACGGUACCUGAGUAAGAAGCCCCGGCUAACUACGUGCCAGCAGCCGCGGUAAUACGUAGGGGGCAAGCGUUAUCCGGAUUUACUGGGUGUAAAGGGAGCGCAGACGGCUCUGCAAGUCUGAAGUGAAAGCCCGCGGCUUAACCGCGGGACUGCUUUGGAAACUGCAAGGCUUGAGUAUCGGAGGGGCAGGCGGAAUUCCUAGUGUAGCGGUGAAAUGCGUAGAUAUUAGGAAGAACACCGGUGGCGAAGGCGGCCUGCUGGACGAAAACUGACGUUGAGGCUCGAAGGCGUGGGGAGCAAACAGGAUUAGAUACCCUGGUAGUCCACGCGGUAAACGAUGAAUACUAAGGUGUCGGUGCCCGAAGGGCAUCGGUGCCGUCGCAAACGCAAUAAGUAUUCCACCUGGGGAGUACGUUCGCAAGAAUGAAACUCAAAGGAAUUGACCGGGGACCCGCACAAGCAGUGGAGCAUGUGGGUUUAAUUUCGAAGCAACCGCGAAGAACCUUACCAAAUCUUGACAAUCCCUUCUGACUGCGCCGUAAUGGCGUUUUUCCUUUCUGGACAGAAAAAAGACAAGUGGUGCAUGGGGUGGUCGUUCAGCUCGUGUUCGUGAGGAAUGUUAGGGGUUAAGUUC